UACGCUAAUACCGCAUACGUCCUGAGGGAGAAAGCGGGGGACCGUAAGGCCUCGCGCGAUUGGAGCGGCCGAUGUCGGAUUAGCUAGUUGGUAGGGUAAAGGCCUACCAAGGCGACGAUCCGUAGCGGGUCUGAGAGGACGAUCCGCCACACUGGGACUGAGACACGGCCCAGACUCCUACGGGAGGCAGCAGUGGGGAAUUUUGGACAAUGGGCGAAAGCCUGAUCCAGCCAUGCCGCGUGAGUGAAGAAGGCCUUCGGGUUGUAAAGCUCUUUCAGCCGGAAAGAAAUCGCGCAGGAUAAUACUCUGUGUGGAUGACGGUACCGGAAGAAGAAGCACCGGCUAACUACGUGCCAGCAG
Molecule: ribosomal RNA, 360 nt
Filed under: uncultured bacterium
Lineage: Bacteria
Description: bacterial SSU rRNA
Rfam family: Bacterial small subunit ribosomal RNA
Source: RNAcentral